RNAcentral lists this ribosomal RNA (490 nucleotides) under uncultured bacterium. RNAcentral describes it as "partial 16S ribosomal RNA". It matches the Rfam family "Bacterial small subunit ribosomal RNA", at positions 30 to 507 of the family's 1533-position model. The record is from RNAcentral.
AUUGGACGCUGGCGGCAGGCCUAACACAUGCAAGUCGAACGGUAACAGGAAGAAGCUUGCUUCUUUGCUGACGAGUGGCGGACGGGUGAGUAAUGUCUGGGAAACUGCCUGAUAGAGGGGGAUAACUACUGGAAACGGUAGCUAAUACCGCAUAACGUCGCAAGACCAAAGAGGGGGACCUUCGGGCCUCUUGCCAUCGGAUGUGCCCAGAUGGGAUUAGCUAGUAGGUGGGGUAACGGCUCACCUAGGCGACGAUCCCUAGCUGGUCUGAGAGGAUGACCAGCCACACUGGAACUGAGACACGGUCCAGACUCCUACGGGAGGCAGCAGUGGGGAAUAUUGCACAAUGGGCGCAAGCCUGAUGCAGCCAUGCCGCGUGUAUGAAGAAGGCCUUCGGGUUGUAAAGUACUUUCAGCGGGGAGGAAGGGAGUAAAGUUAAUACCUUUGCUCAUUGACGUUACCCGCAGAAGAAGCACCGGCUAACUCCGUG